GCUUGGACAAAAACCAGCUAUGGUAUUAAUGUAAUGUGACAGUUGUUUUCCUGCUCAGUUGUUGAAACAUCCACAUUGAUAAUUUGUUCCAGUGGUGGAAUCUACAAAAUCCAUGUGUCUUUAGGACUUUUUUUGUUGUUGUUGUUAAAAAUAGAAUGACUGGAGAAGCAUCCUUUGAGUGGGUUUACCCUGGUAUGUGAAGGCAGAGAUUGUCAACUUGUGUCCCAGAGAAACUCAUUAUAGUACAGAGUACAGUGUCCUUCAGGAGCUCGUCUUGUAAACUGCCCCAUGUCUGUCUGUGACACAAUGUGGGAAGGGGGAAGAAUUAAGGUUUGAGACAGAAGGGAAUGGUGAGAUGCAAAGAUGAAGAGGGGAACACAAAUGGAUCAACUGCUUAAACACAGGUCUAGUUUAUUAGGUGCCGUACAAGGGCUGGUGUCACAUGGCUAUCUACAUCACAAAUUAAGUAGAAGGAAAGAGCCUGUGAAUGCAACCCAACUUGCAGUCUGGGGGCUUUGAGGGGUGUUGGUGUAAGCGAUCUUUGCACUGUGUUUUGGCUCUGACAAAGUGCGACAACUUGAAAUCACCGACUAUUUGUUUCUAAACGGUAUCCAAAGGGGGCGUCAGAGACCCUCAGACUUUAAUUUCUUCUGAAAUUGGAGAUAGUGGGAUCUGUUACUUUGUUUCUAGCACAAUUAAUAAGGUGGUUAGCUCCACCCCAACCCCAGUUUAUCUUGGGGUUGUGCCCAAUUAUGAGCACAACUCUGAAACAGAUGGUAGCAACAAACUUUUUGGCCAUUGAUAGCUCCUGCUUUUCUUUAAAUGCCUUGAGGAAAGAGAACAUGUUACAGAAAAAAUAGCAACAAAUUAAGAACAUUUAUGGAAGUCAGGUGCUCUUUGGAAGAAAUGUGUUUGAGGCUACCGAUGCUUGUUGUAGGAAUAUUUAGACCAGUGGUUUCCAAGUGGGAGUUUCAGGUGGGAACACCUCAGAUAUCUCCUUUGGGCUGGGGAGUUUUACACUGGAUGAUGUAGUACUGUGAGUCACAGGAUACUUCAGGAGUCUUCGACACCUUCCAAGAUGUUGCACCUGUCUCUUAUGUCAGUGCAGCUGAGUCCAUUAUGGCCCAUUAUAGCUCAUCAACAAGAGAUGAAUAUCUUCAGUGUUCCAGGGAGUUAUCACAGCUGACUCAUCUGGGAAACUGCACGGUCCAUUCCAAGAGGGAAGGGAAAGGGCCAGAUGCUUGGUUCCCCUCUGGAGGAAGUUGGCUCCUUCAGUACUCAGUAUCCUCUAAUAAAACAAAUUCAAGUUCAUACCCUUAGAGGAUCCCGCCCUUAAGCAGACUUGGAUUUUGUCGGUGGUGCUUGGUCCCUCAGAAAGCUGCACAUAAGGGUGUUCAAGCUUUUGCAAUUGUUUGUAGUUUGAUUGCCUCUUCCUGCACCUUAGCCAGAAACAACCUUCAUUACAACUCCACUCACGAUUUCAGGGCAACACUGAAGUCAAGGACAACUCUUGUCCUGCAAGGACUCAGCCAAAGUGACCACAUAGACCUGGGACUCGCACACAGAACUCAGCAUCACACAGGUAGCUGUGCAUAUUGUUCAUUGCAAACUGUGCACAACUCAAAAAGGUCUUUGAAGCUCCUUUCAACUUCAGGUGCUUGCUAAAAGUCCUUCUGUCCUAACUAUUGAUAGAAUCUCUGUCAGUUAAAUUAUCCAAUUUAGAAAAAAAGAAAA
This is a long non-coding RNA of Pseudopipra pipra, 1734 nucleotides long. RefSeq lists it as uncharacterized. The record is from RefSeq and is a predicted model, not a curated record. Lineage: Eukaryota; Metazoa; Chordata; Aves; Passeriformes; Pipridae. The transcript is spliced from 6 exons.